UGUGAGUGUGUAAGAGCGCAUGGUGGAUGCCUUGGCAUCAGGAGCCGAUGAAGGACGUGGAAAUCUGCGAUAAGCCUCGGGGAGCCGAUAAACGGGCUGUGAUCCGAGGAUGUCCGAAUGGGGGAACCCCGCCGCAUGCGAGUGCGG
Molecule: ribosomal RNA, 147 nt
Filed under: Burkholderia multivorans
Lineage: Bacteria; Pseudomonadati; Pseudomonadota; Betaproteobacteria; Burkholderiales; Burkholderiaceae
Description: partial 23S ribosomal RNA
Rfam family: Bacterial large subunit ribosomal RNA
Source: RNAcentral